UACGUAGGGGGCAAGCGUUAUCCGGAUUUACUGGGUGUAAAGGGAGCGUAGACGGUUAUGUAAGUCUGGAGUGAAAGCCCGGGGCCCAACCCCGGGACUGCUUUGGAAACUGUGUAACUGGAGUACAGGAGGGGCAGGCGGAAUUCCUGGUGUAGCGGUGAAAUGCGUAGAUAUCAGGAGGAACACCGGCGGCGAAGGCGGCCUGCUGGACUGAAACUGACGUUGAGGCUCGAAAGCGUGGGGAGCAAACAGG
RNAcentral lists this ribosomal RNA (253 nucleotides) under uncultured bacterium. Its description in RNAcentral is "partial 16S ribosomal RNA". It matches the Rfam family "Bacterial small subunit ribosomal RNA", at positions 524 to 776 of the family's 1533-position model. The record is from RNAcentral.